RNAcentral lists this unclassified non-coding RNA (357 nucleotides) under soil metagenome. RNAcentral's name for it is "partial contains 5.8S ribosomal RNA, internal transcribed spacer 2, and large subunit ribosomal RNA". The stretch from base 1 to 120 matches the Rfam family "5.8S ribosomal RNA", at positions 35 to 154 of the family's 154-position model. The record is from RNAcentral.
GAUGAAGAACGCAGCGAAAUGCGAUAAGUAAUGUGAAUUGCAGAAUUCAGUGAAUCAUCGAAUCUUUGAACGCACAUUGCGCCCGCUGGUAUUCCGGCGGGCAUGCCUGUUCGAGCGUCAUUUCAACCCUCAAGCUCUCCGGAGUUUGGUGUUGGGGCGCCUGGGGCUUUUCGACCUCAGGGCCCUCAAGUCCAUCGGCGGGACCGCCAGGACACUGAGCGCAGUAGUAUUAUUUCGCUCGGUAGGAUCUUCCACGGCGGGUCGAUCUGGCCGCUAAACCCCCCAAUUCUCACCAAAGGUUGACCUCGGAUCAGGUAGGAAUACCCGCUGAACUUAAGCAUAUCAAUAAGCCGAGGA